AGUGAACGCUGGCGGUAGGCCUAACACAUGCAAGUCGAACGGCAGCACAGUAAGAGCUUGCUCUUACGGGUGGCGAGUGGCGGACGGGGGAGGAAUACAUCGGAGUCUACUUUUUCGUGGGGGAUAACGUAGGGAAACUUACGCUAAUACCGCAUACGACCUACGGGUGAAAGCAGGGGAUCUUCGGACCUUGCGCGAUUGAAUGAGCCGAUGUCGGAUUAGCUAGUUGGCGGGGUAAAGGCCCACCAAGGCGACGAUCCGGAGCUGGUCUGAUAGGAUGAUCAGCCACACUGGAACUGGGACACGGUCCAGACUCCUACGGGAGGCAGCAGUGGGGAAUAUUGGAAAAUGGGCGCAAGCCUGAUCCAGCCAUACCGCGUGGGUGAAGAAGGCCCUCGGGUUGUAAAGCCCUUUUGUUGGGAAAGAAAAGCAGCAGGUUAAUACCCCGCUGUUCUGACGGUAACCAAAGAAUAAGCACCGGCUAACUUCGUG
This 492-nucleotide ribosomal RNA is filed under the name uncultured bacterium. Its description in RNAcentral is "partial 16S ribosomal RNA". It matches the Rfam family "Bacterial small subunit ribosomal RNA", at positions 29 to 507 of the family's 1533-position model. The record is from RNAcentral.